This 464-nucleotide long non-coding RNA is filed under the name Nicotiana benthamiana. RNAcentral describes it as "long non-coding RNA (NBEN_LNC016389)". Lineage: Eukaryota; Viridiplantae; Streptophyta; Magnoliopsida; Solanales; Solanaceae. The record is from RNAcentral.
CUUAAUUAAAGGAAUUCCCCUCUCCUGAUUGCUUUUAAUUGAUACUGAAUUAAUUUUUUGCCUUGCUUACUUGCCUGUUUUCAAAGUAUAAAUACCCUAUUUCUUUGCUUCAAAAUUUAGUUCAAACACACACACACACACUCAAAGCUCUCUUCUCUUUACUACUACUAGCAUUAUUGUUUGUGUCUAGCCGGCUGAAAGCCAAGGCUAGACUAUAGAACCCUGCUUGCUAUUCUCAAGUGUUUGCUGAAGCUUGAGUGAACUCUCUAGCUGUUUUUCUUACUUUGUUUGUUUUACUGUCUGAAAAUUGCAAACUGGUAUGCCCUUUUAUGCUCUAUAAGCAUCCUUAUUCAAUUUCUCUGCUUUUACCCUUUUUUUUGUGUGGUCAUUAAAUUUAUGCUUUCCUGCACUAUUUAAUUACUUUCAAGCAUGUUAAUCCCCUUCCUCUAUUCCCUUUGUAUGUG